AGAAUCAACGCUGGCGGCGUGCCUAACACAUGCAAGUCGUACGAGAAAGGGGAGUAAUCCCUGAGUACAGUGGCGCACGGGUGAGUAACACGUGAAUAAUCUACCUCCGAGUGGGGAAUAACUGAGAGAAAUCUUAGCUAAUACCGCAUAACACUUACGAGUCAAAGCAGCAAUGCGCUUGGAGAGGAGUUCGCGGCCGAUUAGUUAGUUGGCGGGGUAAUGGCCCACCAAGACGAUGAUCGGUA
RNAcentral lists this ribosomal RNA (245 nucleotides) under uncultured bacterium. RNAcentral describes it as "partial small subunit ribosomal RNA". It matches the Rfam family "Bacterial small subunit ribosomal RNA", at positions 26 to 285 of the family's 1533-position model. The record is from RNAcentral.